AGGAUGAACGCUGGCGGCGUGCCUAACACAUGCAAGUCGAACGUCCUGUCUCGCAAGAGGCAGGGAGUGGCGGACGGGUGAGUACCACGUGGGUCAUCUACCGUGAGGUGAGGAAUACCGGCGAGAAAUCGCCGACAAGACCGCAUAGGCUCGAUGCAAGUCGAGCAAAGCUCUUUCGAGAGAGGGAGCGCCACACGAGGAGCCUGCGCCCGAUUAGCUAGCUGGUGGAGUAACGGUUCACCAGGGCGACGAUCGGUAGCUGGUCUGAGAGGACGAUCAGCCACACUGGGAUUGAGAACGGCCCAGACUCCUACGGGGGGCAGCAGUGAGGAAUUUUCGUCAAUGGGGGCAACCCUGAACGAGCAACGCCGCGUGCAGGAAGAAGGUUUUCGGAUCGUAAACUGCUUUUCUCGGGGAAGAGAACGGACGGUACCCGAGGAAUCAGCCCGGCUAACUACGUGCCAGCAGCCGC
This 472-nucleotide ribosomal RNA is filed under the name uncultured bacterium. Its description in RNAcentral is "SSU rRNA". It matches the Rfam family "Bacterial small subunit ribosomal RNA", at positions 26 to 518 of the family's 1533-position model. The record is from RNAcentral.